CAAACCCUAAACAACAAGCUCGUGUCCGUUUAGACCAGCUUGGUUAUGGGCGAUCGUCCCCGCCUCUCGCGCGCGGACCCGCCUUAAAUCCAUUGGCGGCCGGCACCUCUUAGGCUACACGCGCAGCAGAAUUGCGCCUCGCACCUAGGGAGCCGGCGCUCCAGCAAGCGCUUCUACGCACCGA
RNAcentral lists this unclassified non-coding RNA (184 nucleotides) under uncultured Dothideomycetes. Its description in RNAcentral is "sequence contains ITS2". The record is from RNAcentral. Lineage: Eukaryota; Fungi; Ascomycota; Dothideomycetes.